GAAGUUGGUGAUUGGACGUUGUCCUCGCCAACCCGGUCAGGUUCGAAAGAAAGCAGCCGUAACGAGUAAGCGGCGGGUCGAUCAUCAAUUUCCCA
Molecule: signal recognition particle RNA, 95 nt
Filed under: Alphaproteobacteria bacterium
Lineage: Bacteria; Pseudomonadati; Pseudomonadota; Alphaproteobacteria
Description: signal recognition particle sRNA small type
Rfam family: Bacterial small signal recognition particle RNA
About the family: The signal recognition particle (SRP) is a universally conserved ribonucleoprotein involved in the co-translational targeting of proteins to membranes. Archaeal SRP consists of a 7S RNA and homologues of the eukaryotic SRP19 and SRP54 proteins.
Source: RNAcentral